Molecule: ribosomal RNA, 370 nt
Filed under: uncultured organism
Description: bacterial SSU rRNA
Rfam family: Bacterial small subunit ribosomal RNA
Source: RNAcentral
CGUAGGGUGCGAGCGUUAAUCGGAAUUACUGGGCGUAAAGCGUGCGCAGGCGGUUAUAUAAGACAGAUGUGAAAUCCCCGGGCUCAACCUGGGAACUGCAUUUGUGACUGUAUAGCUAGAGUACGGCAGAGGGGGAUGGAAUUCCGCGUGUAGCAGUGAAAUGCGUAGAUAUGCGGAGGAACACCGGUGGCGAAGGCAAUCCCCUGGGCCUGUACUGACGCUCAUGCACGAAAGCGUGGGGAGCAAACAGGAUUAGAUACCCUGGUAGUCCACGCCCUAAACGAUGUCAACUGGUUGUUGGGUCUUCACUGACUCAGUAACGAAGCUAACGCGUGAAGUUGACCGCCUGGGGAGUACGGCCGCAAGGUUG